This 426-nucleotide ribosomal RNA is filed under the name uncultured Wolinella sp. Its description in RNAcentral is "bacterial SSU rRNA". It matches the Rfam family "Bacterial small subunit ribosomal RNA", at positions 356 to 774 of the family's 1533-position model. Lineage: Bacteria; Pseudomonadati; Campylobacterota; Epsilonproteobacteria; Campylobacterales; Helicobacteraceae. The record is from RNAcentral.
GGGGAAUUUUGGACAAUGGGGGCAACCCUGAUCCAGCCAUGCCGCGUGAGUGAAGAAGGCCUUCGGGUUGUAAAGCUCUUUCGGCGGGGAAGAAAUGGCAACGGCCAAUAUCCGUUGUUGAUGACGGUACCCGCAUAAGAAGCACCGGCUAACUACGUGCCAGCAGCCGCGGUAAUACGUAGGGUGCGAGCGUUACUCGGAAUCACUGGGCGUAAAGAGCACGUAGGCGGCCUUGCAAGUCAGAUGUGAAAUCCAACGGCUUAACCGUUGAACUGCAUUUGAAACUGCAAGGCUAGAGUAUGGGAGAGGUAGGUGGAAUUCUCGGUGUAGGGGUAAAAUCCGUAGAGAUCGAGAGGAAUACUCAUUGCGAAGGCGACCUGCUGGAACAUUACUGACGCUGAGGUGCGAAAGCGUGGGGAGCAAACA